Long non-coding RNA from Xenia sp. Carnegie-2017, 282 nucleotides. RefSeq lists it as uncharacterized. Lineage: Eukaryota; Metazoa; Cnidaria; Anthozoa; Malacalcyonacea; Xeniidae. The record is from RefSeq and is a predicted model, not a curated record. The transcript is spliced from 5 exons.
GUUGAAGUUAAAAGACAAAGCAAAAGAAAGUAUUUUUAAGAGACAGAAUGGCAAAGUAACAAGUUGUCGAGGACUUCCAGGACUUCCAGGCAGAGAUGGGCGUGAUGGCAGAGAUGCUUCAUUGCGUGGUCCUCGUGGUAAGCAGGGAAAACCAGGUCCAGCUGGGCCACCAGGACCUAAAAGUAAACCCACGUCAACCGGUGGAGUGGUCUACACCAGAUGGGGAAGAAAACAUUGUCCUAACACAGCAAAAACUGUUGAGAUUUAUUCUGGAGCAAUCGG